This 64-nucleotide transfer RNA is filed under the name Meru phyllisae. RNAcentral's name for it is "tRNA-Leu". The record is from RNAcentral. Lineage: Eukaryota; Metazoa; Arthropoda; Insecta; Coleoptera; Meruidae.
GUUACUUUGGCAGAAAAGUGUAAAGAAUUUAGAAUUCUUAAAUGUAAAAAUUUUACAGGUAAUA